GGGGAUUUAGCUCAGUGGUAAAGCGCUUGCCUAGCAAGCGCAAGGCCCUGGGUUCGAUCCCCAGCUCCA
RNAcentral lists this transfer RNA (69 nucleotides) under Rattus norvegicus (Norway rat). It matches the Rfam family "tRNA". Rfam says of the family: Transfer RNA (tRNA) molecules are approximately 80 nucleotides in length. Their secondary structure includes four short double-helical elements and three loops (D, anti-codon, and T loops). Further hydrogen bonds mediate the characteristic L-shaped molecular structure. tRNAs have two regions of fundamental functional importance: the anti-codon, which is responsible for specific mRNA codon recognition, and the 3' end, to which the tRNAs corresponding amino acid is attached (by aminoacyl-tRNA synthetases). tRNAs cope with the degeneracy of the genetic code in two manners: having more than one tRNA (with a specific anti-codon) for a particular amino acid; and 'wobble' base-pairing, i.e. permitting non-standard base-pairing at the 3rd anti-codon position. Lineage: Eukaryota; Metazoa; Chordata; Mammalia; Rodentia; Muridae. The record is from Rfam by way of RNAcentral.